Molecule: long non-coding RNA, 851 nt
Organism: Hylaeus anthracinus
Lineage: Eukaryota; Metazoa; Arthropoda; Insecta; Hymenoptera; Colletidae
Exons: 2
Source: RefSeq, a predicted model, not a curated record
UCUAACGACGAUAAAUCACCAUUAAUUUAUACAUUAACAAAAUAAUAAACAGUGAAAGAAAAUAAAAUAAAGAAAAAUAUAAUUACUAACCAGUCUUCCAGCUGAUGAUAGAAACAAUUUAAACCUGUCUGCUUGUAUGUGACAAUGUUCUUUGAUAUAAUCAUAAAGAUCUUUACCACGAGUGGACUCGCGUAGGGGAUAUCUGUCAGGAGUCAAAGUCUUGUCUUGAGAUCCAAAUAACAGAUCGAACUGAAUCAGACAUGUUUGACCAGCUCUACAAACCAUGGUCUGUAAUAAGACAUCAGAUAAAAGACAAACAAAAUUGGCAUUAUGCCAUACUAAAGGUGGAAAAUGAGUAAAAUCUACGCAACACAGUGAGAUACUACUCUGCACAGUAUGACACAGUAAGGAAAGCCUAUAGAGCCUCCAGUUAUAUUUAGAAUGUCUAAACGAAGACUUGGAAAAUGGCUCUCUUCUCCGAGAUCAGAAUUCUCCCCUCUUUCCCCUUUUCUUUCUCACUCUGUUGCUUCUUUUCUAUUCUACAUUCUUUUUUUUUUGUGCACAACUGCUAAAUAAAUGAAAGUCUACGAUAUAUCAAGUUAACAAAUUUAUUCAAAGCCUAUACAUUCGCUACGUAAUAAUACAAAGUUACAAGAGUGAAAUUACUACAUUGGAAAGUUCAAAAUGUAUAACAGAAACAUUUGGCAUCUAUUAAAAUACGUAUUUACAAAAAUUGUAUUCUUUACAUAUACGUUUAUUCUUAAAACUUACCUAACAGUCCUGUUUUUAUGAAAAAUAUACUUUCUGCCAGUAUAUACUAUAGAAUCCACACCACGUAUGCUUGUUUCAGU